This 425-nucleotide long non-coding RNA is filed under the name Mytilus galloprovincialis (Mediterranean mussel). Lineage: Eukaryota; Metazoa; Mollusca; Bivalvia; Mytilida; Mytilidae. The record is from RNAcentral.
AAACCAUACUAUACGGGCAGAGACAUAAUAUAUACACAUAUAUGUCUCUGAUACGGGUCACAAGUUUACCUGUUUUUGAAAGCUGUACGAUGACAUGAAGUUGUUUACAUCGCUAUCAUUUGUUUACAGUUAAUCAUUGCGUCAUUGGCAAAACAUUUUCAAAAAUAAAUAUCCACGACAUCAUUUAAUUCAACUGGUAUUUAAGUGAAUUCAAAAUAUGGUACGAACGGACCGAAGAGGCGACCUUAUCGGACCACAGAUGAAUUAUCACGUUGUGAUUGGUUAAACGCCGUCACGUGGUGACCCCCUAUGAGACCGUAUGGGGUUAGUAAGUUUCAUAUGGGGUUCAUGACGCGUUAAUGGCGACGUCAUCCAUUAAUGUUGUUGUUUAUUUUUCAACAAAAUGCCGCAGAAAAGGUCCAGCG